CCCUCCCUCCCUCUCUCUCUCUCUCUCUCUCUCUCUCUCUCUCUCUCUCUGAAUUCACAGUAAAAAUAGAAUAGAUACUCAUUUACAUCUGCAUAAUUUUCUGUCAUGCCUCUGGUGUUCGUUGUCAGAGGAUAGAGAGAAUCAUAUGCCCACAUCAAUCGUCUAUAUUCUAGAAUGGCAUUACAUUCUACCUACAUCUAUAACCCAGGGUAGCCUGGGUAGCGGCAGGGUAGCCUAGUGGUUAGUGUGUUGGACUAGUAACAGAAAGGUUGCAAGAUUGAAUCCCUGAGCUGACAAGCAGAUUGCGGCCCGGUUGAGGCUUCAUGUUGAAAGCUACGACCUGGUCGAAAGCUUCAAGUGACUUUAAGUGACCAAAUGUACUUGGCAAAGUGGGUCAGUCAGUCACAGGAAGGACAGUACGAUGAUCCCCCAGCAUACUCCAGUUCCAUGGAGGAUAGGAUGUCCUGUCCAACUGUCCACACUAAAGCUGGGACACUGAUCUACGGUCAGUUGAGCUUUCAUCUCUCUAACAGUGAAACUUGGGAUUUGGAGAGGGUAAACUGAUCCUAAAUCUGGGUAAAUUCUACCCAGAGCCCAAAAGAACAUUGUGUCCUUUUCACAAAUGUUUUGCUUGUUUAUGUCUCUUCUUCCUGUUCCUUGUUGGGUUGUUGUGUCCUUGUUGAGUUGUUGUGUCCUUGUUGGGUUGUUGUGUCCUUGUUGUGUUGUUGUGUCCUCGUUGGGUAAUUGUGUCCUUGUUGGGUUGUCGUGUCCUUGUUGGGUUGUCGUGUCCUUGUUGGGUUGUCGUGUCCUUGUUGGGUUGUCGUGUCCUUGUUGGGUAAUUGUGUCCUUGUUGGGUUGUCGUGUCCUUGUUGGGUUGUCGUGUCCUUGUUGGGUUGUCGUGUCCUUGUUGGGUAAUUGUGUCCUUGUUGGGUUGUCGUGUCCUUGUUGGGUAAUUGUGUCCUUGUUGUGUUGUCGUGUCCUUGUUGGGUAAUUGUGUCCUUGUUGGGUUGUCGUGUCCUUGUUGGGUUGUCGUGUCCAUGUUGGGUAAUUGUGUCCUUGUUGGGUUGUCGUGUCCUUGCUAGGUUGUUGUGGCAGCAGAGCCAGAGGUUGGUGGGUUGUUAGGUUUAUCUGAUGGUUCCGUGGUUAUUGUGGUCAUUCCAAAGGAGGGACAGAGAGCAUUCAGUUGUAAAUUGUCUGGUCACCAAACAAGGAAUGCACUGAACGGCAUCCCCAAAUUGAAAAUAAGAGCCAAUCAUUAUUUAUUUAUUUAUAUAUGAGGAUUUAAAAAUCUUGCUGAAUAAAGGCACUGUUUGAUGAUGUAAUGUAUAAAAUUAGUUGGGAAAAGUAAUACCCUUGUUACUGUUCACAUUUCUUUUAAAAAUCUUUAUCCAAUUCCUCCCGUCACAGUCAAUUUGAAGAUUUGGCUGCAGAGAUGAUCUUCUCCUUUCAUUUAGACAAAAGAAAUCCUGGAGAUGCCGGGGAUUGAACCCGGGGCCUCAUACAUGCAAAGCAUGCGCUCUACCACUGAGCUACAUCCCCUC
Molecule: long non-coding RNA, 1541 nt
Organism: Oncorhynchus tshawytscha (Chinook salmon)
Lineage: Eukaryota; Metazoa; Chordata; Actinopteri; Salmoniformes; Salmonidae
Source: Ensembl